This 1685-nucleotide long non-coding RNA is filed under the name Schizosaccharomyces pombe (fission yeast). Lineage: Eukaryota; Fungi; Ascomycota; Schizosaccharomycetes; Schizosaccharomycetales; Schizosaccharomycetaceae. The record is from RNAcentral.
GUGGUGGUUGUAAAAGAAGAUUUUGGGGUUUGACAUCUCGAUGAAUUAAAGAACGCGAUCGUAAAAAUUGGAGUGCAGAAGCAAGUUGUUGGGUAAAAUGCCGAACCAACGUCUCAUUCAAUCCAGCCUUGUAAACUGGCGGAUGAUCGAUGUUGAUCCAGGCUAAGGAGGGAAUACUGUUAAACUUUUCUCGCUUUCGAAUAAAAUAACUCAAAUCUCCUAGGGAGCAAUACUCCAUGACCAGGUGAAUGAACCGCCCAGCCUUAAUACAGUCUAUCAGUUCCACAACAUGCACAUGACGGAUCUCUUUAAGGAUUGAAAUUUCACUUUCUAAAUUCUCCAAAAGUUUCUUAGUAAGCUUCUUUGUCAAUACGCUUUUAAUAGAGAUCACUCGAUUCGUUUCCUGCAACACGAUUAGCCACCAAAUUCCAUUGAAACAGACAAGCAGUUGCUUCUUUUACUUACCGUGUGCUUUCCUUUAUACACAAUUGCGAAAGAUCCACGUCCAAUUUCCGAUCGAAUGACAUAGGGACCAAUUGUUUGAUUUGUACUCGUCUGUAAGUUCAUACAGCUUCUGGUUCACGAUAAGACAGGUGUAAGGGUUUUAGCUGCCUUUAUACUCACUUUGAUAGCAUGGGAGUUGGCAAGGAUAGCGGGUCGCCAUUGAUAAUAUAGCUGCGUAAAAGGCACUUUCCGCACUGGGCUUUAAUACCUUAAAAUAAAUUGCGAUCGUGGUGCGGCUGUAAAAGGUAACAGGAGAUAUGGUUUCGGGAUAACAAGUUUUAUGGGAGUAAGCACUAUGAAUAGAAUGCGAGUUUAUAGAGGAAAUUGUAUUAACUCAAUGAAUUAUAAUAUUUUACACACAUAUACCUGCUGGUAGUGUCUAAAUUCUUUGAAAUUGUUCCCUUUUUGUGCAGCUGAAAAAUGCCGAAAGUGGGUUAAGACGAAAUAAAUGUGUUAAUUUUUGCCAUGUCAGUUACCGAUUUGAGUACGGAAAGCAAGUGUGUGUGGAAUUAGAGGAUAAGAACGGAAGUAGAUAAUACUCCAGACGAAGCGUAGAUACCCGCGAAAAGGCAAAUUAGUUGGAAAAGGCGAUUGUCAUGGAUAGAGUGAUCGAGGCAGAUGAAAAUGCAAGUGUAAAUAGAGGGUAAAUUUGGAUAAAAAACCGGCGGCAGAUGUACAACUUGUACCACUGUACCAGUUUCAUGCCAUAUAGAAAUAAUAUAAAAAAAAAAAGUAAACUGGAUUUAAAAGACAAAAAAAAAAGAAAAGAAGGAGCCUACAGCACCCCGGAUUCCCAUGUUGUCUCCAACCAUAGUACUAACGAGGCCCUCAGACGCUUAACUGCAGUGAUCGGACGGGAACUGGUGUUUUCGCCUAGGUAUGGCCGUAGACAUUUGUUGUGUUAAAUAAUAAUAUUUAUGGUUGAAGAAAAGAAUAUCAUUUUUUUUAUGCAGUGUGAGUUUUGGCUCAAACGCAUGUAUAUAAUACUACAAAACAGGGAAUUGGGCAAUGACUAGUAUUCAAACAUGCCCUGAGGACUUGAAGACCAUAAUGGAAGGUAAGAACUCUCUUGCAGAAAAUUAAAAGAAAAUUUCCAAUCAUAAUAUGUUGCUUUUCUCUUUAUUGAUAUAUACGAGAUUGGUUGUGGAAUCCAAAUUUCUAAAACAGACUUUAAAGUCAAC